AUUUUGCUUAUUAAACACCCACCCGAAUAACCAAAGGGGGCAGAGUCUGUGGACACAAUUUGCCCUAUCUUCAGUUCCUCUUGUCUGUCCUCCACAAGCAGAGACUCACUGAUAGACCACUGUUACCAGUUCUAGUGUUUACACAUCCACCCACGUCCCCACCACAAGUGUAUCCUGUACAGACACAGAACAUUGAGGGGAAAAACAGAGAUGCUGUUGUCUGCUGCCUCAUUAACUACCUCGGUGAAAGACAAGAAGAUCUUUUCCAUGACUGCCAGUAGGAAUGUGAGGACUACACAGACAGAACAAAGAAGGUGAUUGUGAAGCACAAUGUCAUGGCUGAGGAGGAUCCAUCAGAUUUGUCUAUUGUGAUCCAGAGAAAACUAAGUGAUGGAAGGAUGUGGAAGCCGAACAAAGGCAUGCAUACUGCUGAUGGGACUCAUUUAUGCAAUCAACAUCGAAUAUCCAAAGGAGCUGAAGAACACGUUUGAAGCUUUUCAAAAACUUUUUUUUGGAAAUUGAUGGAGAAAAACUACUGAAAAAGGUCCACAGCCUCAAAAAUAAGCUCAUGCAGUAGACACACAUUUUCCCUCUUGUUCGAAGAGGAUCUUUUGUCUGGACAUACUUUUAAUGCAGCCCUAAUGGAGUGUAGUUUUAUAUUUUUCUUAUUUUCCCUUAUUUGCUACACACACACAGACACAAAUCCAUCCAGCCCACUCCAUUACUCUGUGAUUUCCCCCAGAUUGACAGAAAAGGAAUACCAAUGCAAAGUUAUAAAACAGGGGUCAUUACUUGAAAUUGUGGUGUAAAGCUGUUGUGCUGCACUAUAUUUUGAGUGUUUCACAGGAUUUUUUGGAUUAAAAAUAUUGAUCUGAUGAGCCAUCUGAAUGUCUUUAUUGUGGGGGGUACAUUUUACCUUUUCUGAAUAAAUAAUUGUUAUUAACUAUUAACUGAUUUGAAGAGAUAAUUUUUACCUAAUUUUAAUGAGUAAGUAGCUGUUGAAUAUAUACAUAAAUGUGAGGUAUUGUUACCCAAUUUAUGCAAGUAUUUAAUAGCUUUUUACUUGAGAUAGCUUAUACUCAAUAUAUGGGAUUAAAUCUACCCCACCAAAGUCGA
This is a long non-coding RNA of Paramisgurnus dabryanus, 1116 nucleotides long. RefSeq lists it as uncharacterized. The record is from RefSeq and is a predicted model, not a curated record. Lineage: Eukaryota; Metazoa; Chordata; Actinopteri; Cypriniformes; Cobitidae.